RNAcentral lists this long non-coding RNA (784 nucleotides) under Nicotiana benthamiana. RNAcentral describes it as "long non-coding RNA (NBEN_LNC003775)". The record is from RNAcentral. Lineage: Eukaryota; Viridiplantae; Streptophyta; Magnoliopsida; Solanales; Solanaceae.
CUUUCUCAAUUAACUUUCAUUUCCUUACACCUCCAAAAUAACAAAUAACCUAAUCCUCUAAAAAUCCUUUCAGCCCAGCCGCCACACCCAAACCCCUGCCCCCUUCUCGUCUUCUUCGAACACCCCCGCUGUACCCCCACCCUCCUUCUCUUCUUCAGUCGAGCAACCAACCCACGAACCCCAUCGCACUCAUCGCUGACCACCAUCCCCGUUCUUCUUCAACAAGAAACCACCAUAACCAGCAUUAAACCUCCACCAGUCCGUUACCCCCUUCCGCCAUGACCAUCCAGCCCGCCUCCAGCUUCAACCCGUCGACCAGUCGACCACUCCCCUCCAGUAGCCCUUGAACCAGCAUCCAAUCAACCCCGAAACCUCCAGAAGUUACCCUGUCGUGCUUCGUCUUCAUCAGUCCCUUCCGCCGGUGCUCUGUCAUCAACUUCUCAUGUUUUCCUCCGUCAUUUUUCUGCUGGUCAAGUUGAAACUGAUUUCAAGGUAAAGAUCAACUUGAUUCCUCUUCGAGCUUUCAUCGGACGCAGCCGGUCAACGAGCUCCGAGUCCAAUACCAUUUCCUCCGGUUUGGGUAAAGUCAGUUUUGAAUGUUAGAAAGAUAAGGGAGAGGAUACUCCAAACACUAUAAAUUCUAGUUUGGAUCCUUAGCUUCAAAGAGCUAUUCGGUUUUCUGUUCAUUUCUGGAUCAAUCUCUGGACUUCAAAGUAAUUUAACUCUCAAAUGGCUUCCGAGGGCUGUAAUCUGCCGUUCGAACACAGUCCACGUUUAAUUGGUA